AUUGAACGCUGGCGGCAGGCCUAACACAUGCAAGUCGAGCGAGUGGCGGACGGGUGAGUAAUGUCUGGGAAACUGCCUGAUGGAGGGGGAUAACUACUGGAAACGGAAGCUAAUACCGCAUACCAUCGGAUGUGCCCAGAUGGGAUUAGCUAGUAGGUGGGGUAACGGCUCACUUAGGCGACGCGCCCUAGCUGGUCUGAGAGGAUGACCGGCCACACUGGAACUGUGACACGGUCCAGACUCCUACGGGAGGCAGCAGUGGGGAAUAUUGCACAAUGGGCGCAAGCCUGAUGCAGCCCUGCCGCGUGUAUGAAGAAGGCCUUCGGGUUGUAAAGUACUUUCAGCGGGGAGGCGUUACCCGCAGAAGAAGCACCGGCUAACUCCGUGCCAGCAGCCGCGGUAAUAC
This 406-nucleotide ribosomal RNA is filed under the name uncultured bacterium. RNAcentral describes it as "partial 16S ribosomal RNA". It matches the Rfam family "Bacterial small subunit ribosomal RNA", at positions 30 to 526 of the family's 1533-position model. The record is from RNAcentral.